AAACAACACCGUUGCGCUUAAAAGAGAUCUGUGCAGUCAAGGUUAAUCCAUCUAAUGGCUCAGAAGUUGGUUGUUUUUAAUAUUUAAGUGUCCAAACGCUCAUCCCCUACCCCCUCAUCUCUCAUCUGCCUCAUUCCCCAAAACCCUAAUGACAGCAGCCCAGAAAUCCUCUUACGACCGGUGGCGGAACCACCACAAACUGACCCCAAACUAACACCAGAUCAUCUCCUCAACUCCCUCUUUCCAAAAUCUAUGAUAUCUUUACCUAAAAACACUCUGAGGAUCCUCGAAUAUCAAAUCAAAGAGUGGAACCCUAGCCAACCGCCUCAAAAUCCCAACUUUCUAGGUGAUGGCGCCACCACCAACCACCAAUAGAUUAACACCCUGAAAUCCUCUGCCUCUCCUCAUCCCAAAUAUCCAAUUCCCUUCCCUUGAAUAUCCCUCAAACUAUUCAAAUUUUGGAUCAAAGAGUUGAGCCCUAAAUCCCAAAACAUCAAAUGGGUAGGGCUUUAAAGAUUUGGGAUCUAAAUUGACUUUAGUCGUGUGUUUUUAGUUAAUAAGACACGAUUAAGGUCCAUCUUGGCCAGAAUCAAAGAUUUCAUUGAGUAUUGGUUUCAAAACCGUGGUCCGCUUAGUUCUAACAAUCAUUCCGGUAUGUUUUUUUUCUUUGUUCAUUGUUCUUAUCUUCUUGUAUUCUCUUUUUUUUCUUAUUAUUAUCUAUUAUUUGCAUGUGUUUAAGUCAAGUGUUAACUGUUUUUCUUUAGUUUAAUUUUAUUUUGUUUGAUCAGAUUAGUUUCUCGUUUCAUUGAUUUUAACGUCUAGGACAUAAUUGAAUUUUAGUUCAUAUGCUUGAGUGAGCUUUUCUGCCUCAUCUUGCUUUCGAAUUAUGAAAUCAGACCUGGGCGCAAAGAAAGAAUUGGCCCAGGUCUUGUGUAAAUUAGGCUGUUGGUUUUGAGUUGGAUCAUUUUUUACCCAUGUUUGGACUCGUUUGAAUAUUGGGUCAGCUUAACCCAUGAAGUUCAGGGUAAAAACAGGGUCACAAUGGGAUAAUUGGGGCAAUUCACAUAGAGAAUCUCCCUGUAACCACUUUAAGAAGCUUCUAGAAGCUGAAAAUGAACUUGGUUGGCAAUCAAGUCAAAAUAUGAGGGAUUUCGAAAUAAAAACAAAAUUCAAAAAGGACUAAAAGAAAAUUUGAAAUCUGAUUGUUUACCUUAGUUGCUUGCCUAUAAAGGCAUUGCUACUCUAAGCUGAAUUCAGAUUGGGAGGGUGAUAAAAUCUAGCAAAAUAGAAACAUCCAUAGACUUGUUACUGUUCCAUUGAUUUCUUUAGAGGUUUUUAGAAAGAAAAUUCUGAAAAAUAAGAAGACAACUAAAAUUUGGAGAGAAAAAUACUAUUCCAUCGAUUUUUCUUCUUUGAUUUCUAAAAUUCAAACCUGCUGAUGCAAUCUGUGGUAUGUUCAAGUGUUUGAGAUGGUUAGAACUUGGUUUUAAUUUGGGUUUGAAAUCUACUAGCCAAAUAAUGCUUUGAUGGUUUCUUAAAUAAUCUCAUUACUGGGUUGAAUUAAUCUGAGGCUAACUUUCUGCUACUGCUAUUGCUGAGCCUAUUGAUUCUCACUUCUUAUUUUUUUCUUCUCUCUCCCAGGUAUAUUUUGAUCCUUAUGGGUGUCACUUGAUAUGUAACUUGAAGCAUGAGUUGAGAAUGAGAUAAAUGUGGUGUUAUUUGUGGAUUUCACCUCUUUAUCUUCAGUUUUGUAACCACCAUGUCGCUUGGAAGUUUUGAGUAAUCUAUUUGUUCUAGAAUGGUUGUAAUUGAUAAUUAGAUCAUGUUAGUUUAGUAUAGUGGUUUCCUUCUAAUCCCGAUUAUUAGAUUUUAUAAUUAAUGUUGGACUUCUUCUGUGUGUUCAUUUGGCUCUUAUAUCUGAGUUUAGUUUGUAUUAGUGCAGUAAGUUAGGCUAUUAAGAAUGAUUGCAAUUGUCACAUUUGUAGGCUAUUAAGAAUGAUUGCAAUUGUCACAUUUGUGGCUGUUGAUCAUGAUGAAAUAGUUUUCCAAUAACAAGAAGUAGUGGCUUGUCAAAUGACUUUUAGUUGAAUUCAGUAUAUAGAAUGUGGACGUGGACAUGAUAUUCUGAAUCUCUCAUUGGUUUAUAAGUUAGUUUUUGAUUGAGGAUCAUUUGAAACAAAAUUCAAACCAUGAAAUGGGUUGCAAAGAAACAUUUGCUGAUAGGUGUUUGUUGAAAUUGGUUGAAUCAGCUUAAGUUGUGAGUGAAAUAUCCCUGUAACAAUUCCUUACUCGGAUUUCUGGUUUGUGGACUGUAAUACAGAGUCAACCCUUAUCUCGAUUCGGGAUUUGAACCGGUAACUUGGGACACCAUAAAUCCCCAAGUAGCGACUAUGAAUUUAAUAAAUAAAUAAUCCUUUUCCGAUUAUCACUUUAAGUUGGAAAAAACUCUCAUAACUACGCCCUUAGCGAGUGU
Molecule: long non-coding RNA, 2473 nt
Filed under: Nicotiana benthamiana
Lineage: Eukaryota; Viridiplantae; Streptophyta; Magnoliopsida; Solanales; Solanaceae
Description: long non-coding RNA (NBEN_LNC009422)
Source: RNAcentral